AACGAACGCUGGCGGCAGGCCUAACACAUGCAAGUCGAGCGGACCCUUCGGGGUUAGCGGCGGACGGGUGAGUAACGCGUGGGAAUAUGCCCUUCUCUACGGAAUAGUCCUGGGAAACUGGGGGUAAUACCGUAUACGCCCUUAGGGGGAAAGAUUUAUCGGGGAAGGAUUAGCCCGCGUUGGAUUAGGUAGUUGGUGGGGUAAUGGCCUACCAAGCCGACGAUCCAUAGCUGGUUUGAGAGGAUGAUCAGCCACACUGGGACUGAGACACGGCCCAGACUCCUACGGGAGGGAGCAGUGGGGGAUCUUAGACAAUGGGGGCAACCCUGAACGAGCCAUGCCGCGUGAGUGAUGAAGGCCUUAGGGUUGUAAAGCUCUUUCAGCUGGGAAGAUAAUGACGGUACCAGCAGAAGAAGCCCCGGCUAACUCCGUG
This 433-nucleotide ribosomal RNA is filed under the name uncultured bacterium. RNAcentral's name for it is "partial 16S ribosomal RNA". It matches the Rfam family "Bacterial small subunit ribosomal RNA", at positions 29 to 507 of the family's 1533-position model. The record is from RNAcentral.